RNAcentral lists this long non-coding RNA (823 nucleotides) under Gossypium barbadense (sea-island cotton). RNAcentral's name for it is "long non-coding RNA (GBAR_LNC022240)". The record is from RNAcentral. Lineage: Eukaryota; Viridiplantae; Streptophyta; Magnoliopsida; Malvales; Malvaceae.
CGUAAUCCAGAUUCAAUACGGCCAAAGUUGGAUGGCGGAAUUAUCAUCGAGAGCAUUUUCCUUAUUCAAGCAGGGUGACAAAUUCGUUUGGAAAGUUGGCCACUUUAGGGAAUUCACGGUCAAAGAGGUGCAAAAGUGGAUAAUCAAUAGCAAUAGCUCCCCAAGUUCCAUAUUAAGGUAUAAAUGGUUGGUUCUAUGGCGUAUCAAACUACCUCUCAAGAUCCUAGUUUUUAUAUGAAAAAUUUACAACAAUGGGCUGUCGGUUCGGGUCGAAAUUUAGAAGCAUCCCUACAUUUGGUCUCUGUUGCCCUCUUUGCUAUAAAGUGGAUGAAACCCUUAAUCAUCUUUCUCACAAUUGCACAUUUGCAGCAGUAUGGUUUGGUUCCAAUCAAGGAGUUCAUGUUGAUCAUUUACAAGUUUAGGAUAUCCAUGAAUGGACUGCCAGUUGGUUAGAAGAACUACAAAUCGGCAGGUACAACCGUCACUUUACAUACAGGAAAUUUAUUGUUACGCUUUAGCAAAUCUGGAAGCAUAGGAAUUUUGUUUGCUUCUCAAAUAAGAUGCAACCCCUCUACAAACUAUACAUGCUAUCUCUACGUACUGCGAGUACCUAUACUCAGUCUCUUUGCCACAACGGAAUCACGAUCUCAACGUAGGGACAACUAGGGCUUCGCAUAUAUGACUUGUCUACCAAUUACAAAAGGGUUCGCACAUUAUUUGCUAAGGGUUCGCAUAACUAUUCUUCUAGGGUUCGCUUAAUUGAUCUCAUGAGGUUCGCAUGAUUAUUUCAUUAAAAGUUUACAUUCAUAAGGGUUUUAAGACU